Molecule: small RNA, 2946 nt
Filed under: Pan troglodytes (chimpanzee)
Lineage: Eukaryota; Metazoa; Chordata; Mammalia; Primates; Hominidae
Description: processed transcript
Source: RNAcentral
UCUUCCCCUUUUCUGUCUGGCCCGCGGCCCCGCUGCCUGCCCUGCUCCAAGCUCCGCCUGCGCCGCCGAUCGCCCGGGUAUCGCGGGGGCCCAGGCCAGCUGAGUCCGUUUUCCGCGCCGGGGUGGCGCCCCUCCAACCGUCCUAACGCCGGUCCGGCAGCAAGGAGUGUUCCUGGGACCUCAGAGACCAGGCUCAGAGCCUGACAUCCCUGCGAGGGGACAGCCUCAUCCGCCCAGGCCGGUGGGGGUCUCUACAAGUGCCCAGGCUCAGGUGCAGCCCCCAGCAAUGCAUCGCCGGAGACUGGCCCUGGGUCUGGGGUUCUGCCUGUUGGCGGGCACAAGCCUCAGUGUCCUGUGGGUGUAUCUUGAGAACUGGCUGCCAGUCUCCUAUGUCCCCUAUUAUCUCCCCUGCCCAGAGAUCUUCAACAUGAAGCUGCACUACAAGAGGGAGAAGCCACUCCAGCCCAUGGUAUGGUAAGGAGACUGGCAUUUCCUCUUUUGUGGCCGUGAGGGUGGUGGCUCUCCUCCACCACUGGUCCUUCUUGGUUGCAGGUCACAGUACCCUCAGCCCAAGCUGCUGGAGCACAGGCCCACACAGCUGCUGACACUCACACCCUGGUUGGCGCCCAUCGUCUCCGAGGGAACCUUCAACCCAGAGCUCCUGCAGCACAUCUACCAGCCACUGAACCUGACCAUUGGGGUCACGGUGUUUGCCGUGGGGAAGUGAGUAGUGGGCUGGGGAAGGGGAGGGAGGUCUCCCUGAGCCACGGGAGUUUAUAGUUGGGAAGAGACCAGACCAGACGUGCACACAGGACCCUGCUGGGCACCCGGGAGGCUCGGAACCAGGUGCCAAGCAGAUAGAAAGUACAGUGUAGGGUGCGAUAGUGGGAUGGGGGCUUCCUGGAGUAGGGGAUCUGGCUCUAGCAUAGACAGGAUGCAGAGUCCAGGUGAGGGGACAGCAGGAGCCUUUGUCAGGAGGCCCCCUUGCCCCUCCCUGUUUCAUGUAGACCCCUCCUCUGCCCUCGUCUCUCCCAUGACCCCACCUGGCCUUCCUUUAGGAGCUGCCGCUUGGCAGCCUCCCUCUGGGCCUCUGGGACUCCUUCCUGGAACUUCCUGGGGCCCUAAAGCAUGGCCAGAUGAUGAAUGGUCCACCUAGGGUCAGGUGACCCCCUUGUCCAAUGAGUUUUGGCCUGGGGGCAGGGCUGUGUCAACCACACCCCCCUCCAUGCCCCCAGCAUCUAGCUCAACUUGCCUUCCCUUGAUUCAUCCACUUACCUGCUUCUGCACUACUUUCUUCUCUGUGAUCCUCAAUGUUCCUGCCUGUAAAAUGGGCAUGCUUAUGCAGAUCAAAGAUCAUAAGAAUUCUUAGAACGUCACUGGGCACUUAGAAAUUGCUCAGUAAAAGUUCACCUGGCCUAGGAGCAUAAGAAUCUCUACCAGGAACAUGCUUACAACAGCCGUAAGAGGCUGGUACCAGCAUUUUGGGAAUUGGACAAAUGAGGACCCAGAGGGCCAGAGCAGAGUGACAUCUUGAGAUAGGGAGCUGGUAAGUGGACCCCAGCCUGGCUGACCCCAGCAUACAGUGGGGACCCUGGCAGGCUGCUGGUGUAGCAGUGGGUGACCGGGUGAUCAUCACUAGGUACACUCAUUUCAUCCAGUCCUUCCUGGAGUCAGCCGAGGAGUUCUUCAUGCGUGGGUACCGGGUGCACUACUACAUCUUCACUGACAACCCUGCAGCCAUUCCCGGCAUCCCGCUGGGUCCCCACCGGCUCCUCAGCUCCAUCCCCAUCCAGGGUCACUCCCACUGGGAGGAGACAUCCAUGCGCCGGAUGGAGACCAUCAGCCAGCACAUUGCUAAGAGGGCUCACCGGGAGGUGGACUACCUCUUCUGCCUUGAUGUGGACAUGGUGUUUCGGAACCCGUGGGGCCCUGAGACCUUGGGAGACCUGGUGGCUGCCAUUCACCCAAGCUACUACGCCGUUUCCCGCCAGCAGUUCCCCUAUGAGCGCAGGCGUGUUUCCACUGCCUUUGUGGCAGACAGCGAAGGGGACUUCUAUUAUGGUGGGGCAGUCUUCGGGGGGCAGGUGGCCAGGGUAUAUGAGUUUACUAGGGGCUGCCACAUGGCCAUCCUGGCGGACAAGGCCAAUGGCAUCAUGGCAGCCUGGCGGGAGGAAAGCCAUCUAAACUGUCACUUCAUCUCAAACAAGCCGUCCAAGGUGCUGUCCCCCAAGUACCUCUGGGACGACAGGAAGCCCCAGCCACCCAGCCUGAAGCUGAUCCGCUUUUCUACACUGGACAAGGAUAUCAGCUGCCUGAGGAGCUGACCACGGAGCUGGGGGUUGCCAUGGAUGGGGACCCAAAGACCUGCAGCCACCAGUGCUUCACUAGCGUGCAGACCAGCCCUGUCCCGCCUCCCUGUCAGUCAAGCGAAUUCAACCGGAAAAGGGACGUGGAAAGGCCACUGUGAACUGCAGAGGGCUGUGCACACAGUAGCACACAGGAUCUCACAGUAACGCGGCAUAGGAACGGUGAGACGGGGAGGGGAGGCGCAGUUACAAAGGCAGGGCCCGGCAGGCUUGCCACGUUCUGCAGCCGUGCCUUUGCGGGGCAGGCUCUGAAGCCUCAGCCCGACUCAGAGUGCCUGAACCCUGCCGCGCCAGUCCCCCGUUUAUUGCAUAUUGCCCUUAACGUAGCAUUUCUAAUACCCUGGUGUGAAGGCGCCCUAGACCCCUUUUCUCUGGUCACAGGGGUCCUGGGUCCCUUGAUGUCUCCCAACCACAUGUAGCCAAUUCCUCACUCAGGCCCCCAGAGUGAGCCUUUGAAAUGGAGCAGGUCUAGGCUCCCUCGGUUUCCUGCACCCCAAAGUGAGCCGCACUCUCAGGGGACUAGCCACCUCCUUCUUAAGAGGGUUUGAGGCAGUUUAUAAUAAAGGGGGCGUGUGCUCGA